CAUAGAGUGGGAGAGACAGAAAAAAUAGGAAAAGAGAGUGGGAGGAGAGAAUGAGAGUGACAGAGAGACAGAUCAAUAGAAAAAAUAUCACCACCCCAAGGAUCGUGACAGCAUCCCAUUGGUCCUCUUCUUCUGGUCUUCUUGGUGGUGAGGGUCCUGGUCUUGAUCUGUUGGGAGUGGCAGAAGCCCAUGAAACACAGAGUCCACUGGAUUUAUAUUUUCUCAGGUUCAGGUGGGAACAGCCAGGUACUUCUCCUAGGGCAGGAAGUUUUAUACUGGAUGAUGUAAUACUGUGACUCGUGGGACACAUUGGUAGUUUUGAUGGUCAUGAUUCUAAGAUGCCUCUUAAAUCACCAAAGUGGAGUCAGUUCUGGACCAUUAUGCCCAUCAGCAGAGAUGAAUACCGUCAGACUACAUGUGAAUGUGCCAGUACUUUUCCAGAGGUGAGUUUUCACGGCUGAGCCACUUGUAUAAGAACCUUGGCAUGAUAAAAAGCACUAUCCAACCUCAUAGGAUUUACCUCUUACCAGCCUGUUCCCUUCUCUUGUUCAACACCCAACUGUAGCCUCUGGUGAUGGGUGGUUAAAUGGUUGAUUGACUGAGCAAUGAACCAGUGACAGUCCAGUCUCUCAUCCAGUGAAGACACAGAAUGAGGAACAGGAAAGUGCUAUAGAGCCAAGGGUAUAAUGAAUAUGUAAUUAUUUACAGAUAGCAGAUCAGCCCAAUUAGACAAGCCAAAGGGACCACUCCAGCCUGGACUUUUGAUCACUGCUGGGAUGUAAAAGACUGCUCUAACUUCCACUCUGCCUGGCUGGAAACAAGUGUCAAGCCUCCGUAUGUGAAGGUGGGAUCCAUUUUCCCAGCCCGACUAUAUGAACGGAUCAUCCCUCAAACUGCCAUCAACUGACUAUUUAGGACUUACUAUGUAAAAAAUCAAAAGCUUUAAGUUCUUCCUGAAAACCAGGAGGCAACAAUACCAGUCAGGAAACAAUAGGACUAAAAUAGCAACAGGAAUAUCAGGUUUUGUUACAGUGGCAAGGGCAGGAGGACUGUUUGAAGGACUCAGGGCCAGCUCAGAGUUGGAGCAGCUGAGGUAGCAAUUCCCAUUGGGAAUGCUUGGCCAUAGCCCAACCUGGCCUAUGGCAGCUGCUUUUCAACUGGGGCUCUAAUGGCUGAUCUACAAUCUCCACAGAACCACAGCCCUGCCCUGGCCAGCCACAGGGCCCACCUGCGAGCCCAUGGCCUGGCUUCAUCCCAUCCCAAAUAUGCUUCACCUGUCCCAAAUAUGGUUUUACCUGGUGUUCAAAAAGCCAAUUCACACAUGGAGUAGAGAUGUUUGUUUAUUAGGUCUGCCCACAUUCUUGAAAUAUUAUCUACCUGCUUUUAUACUUUUUUUACAUACUUCAAACUUUUAUACUUUUUUUUAUACUUCAAACAGUGAAAAAUCAACAUUUCUCAUAUGAGAAACAAUCUAAAGACAGAGCAACAGGUUACACAUUCCUUCAGUUCCAUUUUCAGUUCCAUCCAUUCAGUUCCAUCGUCUGUGGAGAAGGGGCUUAUCUGAGUAAGGGGUGAUUGUAGCGGGGUGAAGUAAGCACAUUUAUUUCACUGUGUCAAAGACUAAAGGUCAGCACAAAGUUCAUAUAGAAUUCUUCUUUGGCUUUGGCAGCAGCUCAUUAUGGUUCUAUCUUCUUGCUAGAUUAAAUUUAUAGUGUCAUCUUGCUUUUGCUCCUUGGGUCUUGGCUCCUAGUUUUCACUAGGUAUCCAGAGUUGAGUGUCUGCAGGUGUCAAGUGGGUGACCACCUGUGGUGGGUCUAGUGCUGGCCAAAUUCCAGUGCACUCACUGGAAUUAUUUACUCAUUUUUUGCUGCGAGAUAAGGACUAGGAGGAGAGCAAAGUAGGCUCAAAAUUUUAAAGGGUAUAAAGAAAACUUUAUUAACAGAACUAAAAGAAAAAUAGUAAGAAGUCAGAAUAAACCUUCGGAACAUUUCUCCACCCCCCAACUCUUCUUUCUUCUCCCACGGAUAACGUAAAGACGCAAAAUUUGGUAUUUUCAGUUUACCACUUCUAAAAUAAUCUUUAUUCAGUUCACUUAGGGAGAGGAGUCUCACCUGACAUGCCAUGAAGACUUUUUCACAAGAAACAGUUCUGACAUUGUUUUAAUUUUCAUGAAUAGCAGCAAUGGAAAUCUGCAAUUGUCCCUGCAAAAGUCCUUCCCACAGUUUGGUAGUCUUCCCACAACUACCACCAUGUGUCAUCUUAGCUUAUUGGGGUACAAUUUUAAGGAUGAGCUGUUAUGUAUAGAAACAAAAGUUAUUUUAUUUCUGGGAACAGAGGUUUUCUUCUUCCAUCCAUGGGGCAACGUUUCUUUUCUCUCUCUGUUCAAGCUUCUCAGUGGAUCACAGCUACUUCAGCAUUUGCUUGCUUCAACACAGGUACCUCUGCUCAUGGCUGUGGUUAGAACUCUACAUUCCCCCAAUGCAUUCCAUGAGUUUCAGGGAAAAAAAAGUUUGAUGUAUCAAUUACAUCUUCACCAUAGCCUCACAAAAGAAUUUCAGCCCAAGACUAAGGCAUCUCCUCACUCUCCUUCCAUCUAGGAUUUGAGUCCUUCACUAACCUCGGUGUCUCUGUCUUGUUUUCUCUAUGUGUCUUUAUGCUUUCCUUUUCUUUCACUCGCGUUUCACGUGUGCACUAGAGUUGGUAUCUCAGCCGGGCCUGCGGAUGGCCGUGUGAUCCCUGCCGAGUGAUGGCCGCUCUGGCUGCACGGCUGUUCUCCAGCCCCUGCCACGGUCAGUUCCAGCUGCGGGGCUGCUUUCUGCAUGGGCUGCAGGGCUGCCUCUGUUCUUAGCUGCACGGUUUUCUGCGGUGCCAGCAGGAAGGCUCAGCAGCUCGUGGCCCGAGCAGGGGCCAGCCUGGCUCCACCCAAAGCCAAGCCGAGCCAGCCUGGCCCACCAGCCCCGGUCGGAACCCGGCGGCAGCAGAAUGUCAGCGAGCGAGCCCGAGCGGGCCGCGCUGCAGCACGGCAGGGCUCGGCCCGGGCCCGCCAGGCCCUGCAGGCCCUGCGGCACAGCGGGGCCUGGCCCGCCUACAGCAUACAGUUACUGCUCAAAGUGUCAGUUGUGUCCUGAGUGUCACCUGCUUCCCUUCAGCAUCAAUGGAGAAAUUUUCCUUUGUUUGCUAUGGAGAUCCCAUUGUGGCCCAGAAGGGAAUGAUAAAGUUACAUAGACGUGGAGGGGAUAAUGUCUAGUGAGGAGAAACCAGGAGCAGCCACAGGCAGACUUGGAAACACUGAAUAAGGAUCAGCAGUGACAGAAAAGAGCUGUGGUGCAAGACAGAAGCAAAGUCUACCCAGGGAUUCACAGCAAGUAGGAAAAAAUUGAAUUUCCUAUUUCCAGUAUGAGGACAGAACACAGCUGUCAUGGAGAACAAAAAGGCAAAUGGAAAGGGCAGGAGCAGCAACAAAAAGCUUUGUCCCAUUUCCAGAGGAGAGCCUUUAAAGUACACCAGACAUCACAGUAGUGGCUGGGACUGUACAACAAUGUGCUCAGCCAUGCAGAGAGGCUGCCUUUCCUCAAACACACCACAGCUAUGACACCAUGUGCUUGCUCCAGCUCAGACACAAGAAGUAUUGAACAUCAGCAGAAAAUAGGUCUCUACAAACAAUUUAUUGCAUCCAGCAGCAUGCAAUCCAGUCUGCUUUAUCCCAGCUAGAGAUAUUUGAGAUCCCUGGAGAGUUUUUGGCAUCAGAUCCACAUGUCUUGCUUACUUGUUAGCAGUGGGAGCUUGCACCAUCCCCACAAAGCCAGCAUCAGCAAAAGUUACUGAAGAAAUCCUUUUCCUUUACAGGGGCACAACUCAUGCCUUUAGGGGCUGGAUUCAUGCACGCAGUGCACUGAAACCAGAAACAUACAAGUUGAACGCUUUUAAGAUGAACAUUCUGUUGAGAAAAAGGAAGGGAAGAAAAAAUCCCUAAAGUCUUUGCAGUGAAUUUAAUAACUCUGACAUUUACACUCAUCCUACCUGAUAGCAUGUCAAUCGGAAGAAAAUAUUGCUAAUAUUAUAAAUAAGGUAUCUGGAAAUUAGGAAAGGCCAGCACUGAAGUGUAAUAACAGAAUUAUGAGUUAUAUCAUGGCACAUUUACUUCUGAACAAUGUCCAAGGCAAUCAUCAUUCAGGCCCCUUAUGCCAAUAGGAAGCUGUUCCUUAGAUAAGUCAUCCCUCACUUUUUCUGUAAGGCAAGGACUGGCCAAUAUUUAGAAAUAUUUUUGAAGACCAACAAACCCACAGCAGGCUUAAUUUACAAAAGCAAUGAAUGGUUAUUUGGUAUAUUAUUUAUGGCCUUGUUUUUGUGGACAGAUGUAUAUUUUUAAAUAACAUAUCUUCAUGGAUUAUAGUCUGAUAUUUUCUCAUCUUUUACAACCUUCCAAACUGUUUUCUUGAUUAUUCUUACAUCAUACUACAGAAUGAGAUAAAACGAUGUGAUGAUGUAAGUAUCUGGGUCUUCCUUUAUCUCUGUCCCAAAGGGGUGCUAAACUAAUGAAUUAAAUUACAUUUUCUGCAAGCAGUCCCUAGUCCCACACGCUUCUCACACGUAAUAUUUUGUGAAUUCACAGAAUCGCAGAGCAAUUCAGACUGGAAGGUACCUCAUAAAGUCUCUAGUCUGACCUCCUGCUCAAAGCUGGUUUAUACAAAUAUUAACCUGAAUUACAGCUGUAAGUAUGUGAAAGGUUUCCUCAGAAGCCAUUCUUGAAGCUCCUUUUGAUGUGCAGUGUUCACAUUUGCAUGAGCCACUGUAAAGUGUUACAUUAUCCUGCCUCUGGGUGUCAGCAUUUGCCCUCAUUUGGAGACAUUUAUAAAUUGUCCUUAAAAUUGCUUGUCUCUAAGGAACCGUGAAGCCAAACAGAUUCCAGUUCUCAUUCUGAAUUUGUCUGAACAGUUGGAUCUGGUUUAUGAGAAUUUUCAAGUAAGCUGGAAUAAUCAAGCUAAAUUGGAAAAUUAUAUUCUGUGUGAUGGAGAAGGGAUUUUUUUUCAGGAUUUCACUUCUAAGAUAGAAGGGAAAGGGAGAUUCAAUUCUGAAUUCACCUUUUUUCCCUUACAUUCAGACUGCAAGCUUUGAGCAAGAAAAAAGAAAUGAGAAGAAAUAUGACAGGUUUGCACAUUGCUAUGCUACCCAUUUACAGAUGAUACACUCUCAGAUAAGCAAAAGUUAUACACAGCUUUUCAUUUUAAGCUAAAGCUUACCUCUGGAGACAGGAUCUGUAUGAGGUUACAUUAUUCCAGCUGUCAUUAUGGCCAGGUGGUGGAGACAAAAGCUGUAGAAAGACUAUUUUGCUCUUCACCAAUGUAGCCAGUGUCAGGGCCAUCAUGGGGAGGAAGAGCAGCAGAGUAAAGAAGGAAGACAAUGGUGACUAUUUAAAUGGAAGGACCAUAAUGCCUAUCUAAUACAGUAAACCUUCAGUCUCUCUCCUGCUGCACACAGUCAUAGAGAAUUCUUCAUAACACCCAACUCUCAGAAACACUCAAAAGAUUUGAAAGAACUCAACACCUCAUGGGAUCAGUUCUCUGCUUUCUUGUAGCUCCUGGUAUGUGAGCUCAGAGGCAUUGUCAAAAUUUCUCCAGAUCACAGGAACUGGGUAGAAGCAUAUCCUGUGGAAAUCUGUCUGCCUAGAAGAUUUUGACACAUAGAAUAAUAAAAUAUUUCAGGUUGGAAGGUACCCAUGAGGAUCAUCAAGUCCAAUUCCCUGCUCCUUGAAAGACUAGGUAAAAUUUAAAACUAAGACUAAGAGCACCCUCCAGACAGUCCUUGAGCUCUGACUGGCUUGGUGCCAUGGCCAUUUCCCUGGGUAGGUGUUGCAGUC
This is a non-coding RNA of Cyanistes caeruleus (blue tit), 5857 nucleotides long. The record is from RefSeq and is a predicted model, not a curated record. NCBI's taxonomy places the organism in Eukaryota, Metazoa, Chordata, Aves, Passeriformes, Paridae.